GGUUCUAUGGUGUAGUGGUAGCACGUAGGACUUUGAAUCCUGAGAUCUGAGUUCAAUUCUCAGUAGAACCA
RNAcentral lists this transfer RNA (71 nucleotides) under Blepharisma stoltei. RNAcentral's name for it is "tRNA-Gln(ttg)". It matches the Rfam family "tRNA". Rfam says of the family: Transfer RNA (tRNA) molecules are approximately 80 nucleotides in length. The record is from RNAcentral. Lineage: Eukaryota; Ciliophora; Heterotrichea; Heterotrichida; Blepharismidae.